UUUUCCUACGGGACGCAGCAGUGAGGAAUAUUGGUCAAUGGCCGGAAGGCUGAACCAGCCAAGCCGCGUGAAGGACGAAGGUGCCAAGCAUUGUAAACUUCUUUUGUCAAGGGACAAAAUCAGGCUCGAGAGCCUGACCGAGGGUACUUGAAGAAAAAGCAUCGGCUAACUCCGUGCCAGCAGCCGCGGUAAUACGGAGGAUGCGAGCGUUAUCCGGAUUUAUUGGGUUUAAAGGGUGCGUAGGCGGACAGUCAAGUCAGCGGUAAAAAUGCGGUGCUCAACGCCGUACAGCCGUUGAAACUGGC
RNAcentral lists this ribosomal RNA (305 nucleotides) under uncultured bacterium. RNAcentral's name for it is "bacterial SSU rRNA". It matches the Rfam family "Bacterial small subunit ribosomal RNA", at positions 334 to 637 of the family's 1533-position model. The record is from RNAcentral.